This 339-nucleotide unclassified non-coding RNA is filed under the name soil metagenome. RNAcentral's name for it is "partial contains 5.8S ribosomal RNA, internal transcribed spacer 2, and large subunit ribosomal RNA". The stretch from base 1 to 120 matches the Rfam family "5.8S ribosomal RNA", at positions 35 to 154 of the family's 154-position model. The record is from RNAcentral.
GAUGAAGAACGUAGUGAAAUGCGAUACGUAGUGUGAAUUGCAGAAUUCAGUGAAUCAUCGAAUCUUUGAACGCACAUUGCACCUCUCGGUAUUCCGGGAGGUAUGCCUGUUCGAGCGUCAUUUGUACACUCAAGCUCUGCUUGGUGUUGGGUGUUUGUUCCGCCUCUGUGUGUGAACUCGCCUCAAAACAAUUGGCAGCCGGCGUACUUGUUUCGGAGCGCAGCACAUUUUGCGAUCCAGAUCAACGUACAGCGGCAUCCAAGAAGCCUUAUUUAACGCUCUUGACCUCGGAUCAGGUAGGGAUACCCGCUGAACUUAAGCAUAUCAAUAAGCGGAGGA